RNAcentral lists this ribosomal RNA (684 nucleotides) under Colocasiomyia daiae. RNAcentral's name for it is "partial large subunit ribosomal RNA". It matches the Rfam family "Eukaryotic large subunit ribosomal RNA", at positions 74 to 664 of the family's 3401-position model. Lineage: Eukaryota; Metazoa; Arthropoda; Insecta; Diptera; Drosophilidae. The record is from RNAcentral.
AUUUUCUUAGUAGCGGCGAGCGAAAAGAAAUCAGUUCAGCACUAAGUCACUUUGUCUAUAUGGCAAAUGUGAGAUGCAGUGUAUGGAACAUCAAUAUUCUGAUAUGAGAAAUUAAUGAUUUAAGUCCUUCUUAAAUGAGGCCAUUUACCCAUAGAGGGUGCCAGGCCCGUAUAACGUUAAUGAUUAUCAGAUGGUGUUUCCAAAGAGUCGUGUUGCUUGAUAGUGCAGCACUAAGUGGGUGGUAAACUCCAUCUAAAACUAAAUAUAACCAUGAGACCGAUAGUAAACAAGUACCGUGAGGGAAAGUUGAAAAGAACUCUGAAUAGAGAGUUAAAUAGUACGUGAAACUGCUUAGAGGUUAAGCCCGAUGAACCUGAAUAUCCAUUAUGGAAAAUUCAUCAUUAAAGUUAUAGUAUUUAAAUAAUAUUAUAGCGAUAGUGUGCAUUUUUUCCAUAUAAGGACAUUGUAAUCUAUUAGCAUAGAAAAAUUUAUCAUAAAAUACGGCUUAUAGUUUAUUUAAAUUAUUAUGCUUGCAUUUUAACAUAAAAUAAAUGUCGUUCAAUUUGAUAAAGUGUUGAUAGAUUAAUACUAAAUACAAUGCGUUAAUUUUUCGGAAUUAUAUAAAAGCAUAAUUAUUUAUUUUUAUGUUUAUUAUAAGCAUUUGUAUGAUUAACAAUGCGAAAG